AAAAACACCCGGCAUGCCUUGGAUGCUUAGACAGAUUUGCUCACUGAGAAAACCAGUGGACCAUUGGUUUCCUCUCUGCCAGAUGCUGUGUUGAGCACUAUCUGGGAUUCUACAGUACCACUUCAUCAAGGCACCUGAUAAAAAAACAGAAUUUUUCCUAAGAAACCAAAAUCAGUUAAGAGGUAGAUGAAUUGAUAGUAUGAUUGACUGAGUGAUAUAACUGUUGUGAACAAAAACCAUUACAAUGAGGAAUUCAGGCCACUUGGACUAGCCAAGCAUGGGAUUUCGGGGUCACAGCUAUGACACUCGGUAGACUUCUGCUGGCUGACGAGAAAAUGCCUUUCAGGUCAGCAAUGUCCUCUCCUCACAAGGACACCAUCAAAUAAAGGACAUUCUUAAUAAACUGAAAGAACUGGCAGAGAAACCAGUGGCUUUAUAAUUAGUGGCCUUGAGGUCUUUACAGCCUCCCUUAUUUUAAAUGACAGGAAAAGACCUUUCUGUA
This is a long non-coding RNA of Peromyscus eremicus (cactus mouse), 502 nucleotides long. RefSeq lists it as uncharacterized. The transcript is spliced from 2 exons. Lineage: Eukaryota; Metazoa; Chordata; Mammalia; Rodentia; Cricetidae. The record is from RefSeq and is a predicted model, not a curated record.